AUGCGUCCGCGCGGUUGGCGCAUGACCACCGCAUUUCAGGACACGUCCGGACACAACCCCAAAUCCCUACCCAAACGAACAGAAUUCGAACAAAACAGACGUCCGUUUAAAGUCGCGCGGUGGAGUUGGCCUCAAGCCUGGCUGGCUGGCUGCCAGGUUGUGAGUGGAGAUCUGGGCGUGGAUUUGGCCGGAGAAAGGGAAAGGGGUACUAUCAUUGCCCGGACCACUGUCACGGACAGGUUAAUCAGAAAAUAUUAUCACUGGGUCUACAUACAGGCUACAGCACAGGAAAUUAUUAUUCUCUCAGUGGUGGAUCUGGUUGACUUGGACUGUACUGUACCGGCCAGAUUCUGA
Molecule: ribosomal RNA, 354 nt
Filed under: Triticum aestivum (bread wheat)
Lineage: Eukaryota; Viridiplantae; Streptophyta; Magnoliopsida; Poales; Poaceae
Description: partial small subunit ribosomal RNA
Source: RNAcentral